UCUCUGCCUCUGUGUGUGUAUCUCAUGAGUAAAUAAAUAAAAUGUUAAAAAAAAAAAAAAAAAAGAGGCACUGGUCGCACGCCUGAAGGAGUCCCCUAACCAAAGAAGGGGCCGGUGGGGUGGCCGCCAGUGAGCUGACCGGCAUCAAGCUUUAUCAUUCGCGGGGGAGUUCCUACCCCUCGGGGGCUGAGCCGACCGCUGGCUGGAGGAUGCAGUUCCGGGGAGACCGCAGACCACCCUCACCCCAGACCCCGGGACAGGCCGGGGCCCAGAGCCACGGGACGCGGGGGAGUGUUGGACUGACCACCGUAGGCGGUGUAGCCGAGUCCAAAUAGCGCACGCCAGGCAGCUUAGCACGGCAGGGAUCUAUCUCUCCGGGUUCUGGAGGGCAGAGGUCCAAGGUCAAGGUCGUGGCAGGGCUGGUUCCCUGGGGACGUGUCUGGGCCCUGGCGGGGCUGGCGCUCCUUGGCUCACGGGCGCCCGGCUCCCAUCUCUGCGUCUCCCUGGGGGUCUGUGUCUUCACAAGGACGUAGUCCGCCUCAAUCCCAGUGGCCUCAUCAGAACUUAACUAGUUAUAUCUGCAAAGACCCCACAGGGUCCCCCUCACAGGUUCCAAGGGACGGGACUUUUGGGAAGGGGGACCCUGGUCAGGCCAACAGACAGUGAAGAUUCGGAGCUCCCAGGCAGGAGGAGGGCCACACGUGCAGACAGGCCGGCCAGCAGGAGCGGAGGUCGGAGGCUCUCAGACCCACCCGUUCUCUCCAGCCUCGGGGUCACGGCCAGCCAGCCUGCCUCUCACACUAGUGGGACCAGGGCAAGAAUUCGGGGCACAGGGGUCGCAGAACCCACGUUCGGAAACCCUCCAGUGAGAACCAGCUGCUGCUGCCCAGUGCACUCUGGGCUCCCGUCCAGCCCCCCACUCCGGCCGCAGACACAGGGAGCAUCGGGCCGGGGCGGCCUCACAGCCCAGGAUGGAUCCUAACCCACGCAGGGAGGACGUGCGCGGCAGGGAGCCCUCGGAGGCUGGCGGCUGCUCCCCAGGUGCGCCCUGUGCCUCUCGCCUGGGAGCUCCACCCGAGGGAGCCCGACGCCCUGUCCCCACAAAACGCGCGUCCCAAUAUUAACAGCAGCAGUGUUUCUAAUUUCCAAAAUGUGGAAUCA
This 1161-nucleotide long non-coding RNA is filed under the name Canis lupus familiaris (dog). RNAcentral's name for it is "lncRNA (ENSCAFG00040010504.1)". The record is from RNAcentral. Lineage: Eukaryota; Metazoa; Chordata; Mammalia; Carnivora; Canidae.